GACGAACGCUGGCGGCGUGCUUAACACAUGCAAGUCGAACGGAAAGGCCCUGCUUUUGUGGGGUGCUCGAGUGGCGAACGGGUGAGUAACACGUGAGUAACCUGCCCUUGACUUUGGGAUAACUUCAGGAAACUGGGGCUAAUACCGGAUAGGAGCUCCUGCCGCAUGGUGGGGGUUGGAAAGUUUCGGCGGUUGGGGAUGGACUCGCGGCUUAUCAGCUUGUUGGUGGGGUAGUGGCUUACCAAGGCUUUGACGGGUAGCCGGCCUGAGAGGGUGACCGGCCACAUUGGGACUGAGAUACGGCCCAGACUCCUACGGGAGGCAGCAGUGGGGAAUAUUGCACAAUGGGCGGAAGCCUGAUGCAGCAACGCCGCGUGCGGGAUGACGGCCUUCGGGUUGUAAACCGCUUUCGCCUGUGACGAAGCGUGAGUGACGGUAAUGGGUAAAGAAGCACCGGCUAACUACGUGCCAGCAGCCGCGGUGAUACGUAGGGUGCGAGCGUUGUCCGGAUUUAUUGGGCGUAAAGGGCUCGUAGGUGGUUGAUCGCGUCGGAAGUGUAAUCUUGGGGCUUAACCCUGAGCGUGCUUUCGAUACGGGUUGACUUGAGGAAGGUAGGGGAGAAUGGAAUUCCUGGUGGAGCGGUGGAAUGCGCAGAUAUCAGGAGGAACACCAGUGGCGAAGGCGGUUCUCUGGGCCUUUCCUGACGCUGAGGAGCGAAAGCGUGGGGAGCGAACAGGCUUAGAUACCCUGGUAGUCCACGCUGUAAACGGUGGGUACUAGGUGUGGGGUCCAUUCCACGGGUUCCGUGCCGUAGCUAACGCUUUAAGUACCCCGCCUGGGGAGUACGGCCGCAAGGCUAAAACUCAAAGGAAUUGACGGGGCCCCGCACAAGCGGCGGAGCAUGCGGAUUAAUUCGAUGCAACGCGUAGAACCUUACCUGGGUUUGACAUGGAUCGGGAGUGCUCAGAGAUGGGUGUGCCUCUUUUGGGGUCGGUUCACAGGUGGUGCAUGGCUGUCGUCAGCUCGUGUCGUGAGAUGUUGGGUUAAGUCCCGCAACGAGCGCAACCCUUGUUCACUGUUGCCAGCACGUUAUGGUGGGGACUCAGUGGAGACCGCCGGGGUCAACUCGGAGGAAGGUGGGGAUGACGUCAAGUCAUCAUGCCCCUUAUGUCCAGGGCUUCACGCAUGCUACAAUGGCUGGUACAGAGAGUGGCGAGCCUGUGAGGGUGAGCGAAUCUCGGAAAGCCGGUCUCAGUUCGGAUUGGGGUCUGCAACUCGACCUCAUGAAGUCGGAGUCGCUAGUAAUCGCAGAUCAGCAACGCUGCGGUGAAUACGUUCCCGGGGCUUGUACACACCGCCCGUCAAGUCAUGAAAGUUGGUAACACCCGAGGCCGGUGGCCUAACCGUUGUGGGGGAGCCGUCGAAGGUGGGACUGGUGAUUGGGACUAAGUCGUAACAAGGUAGCCGUACCGGAAGG
This 1477-nucleotide ribosomal RNA is filed under the name uncultured bacterium. RNAcentral describes it as "16S ribosomal RNA". It matches the Rfam family "Bacterial small subunit ribosomal RNA". The record is from RNAcentral.